This 955-nucleotide long non-coding RNA is filed under the name Lathyrus oleraceus (garden pea). Its description in RNAcentral is "Pisum sativum (pea) long non-coding RNA (PSAT_LNC027462)". Lineage: Eukaryota; Viridiplantae; Streptophyta; Magnoliopsida; Fabales; Fabaceae. The record is from RNAcentral.
AUAGAACCUCACUAUAGUUGUGAAAUAUUAUUAUUAAUCUCAUAUCAUUUAAAUCAUUUGAUUGACCUUAAUGAAACCACUUUUUUUCAUCAUAGGUGUAUCAUUUUGGAGUUCAAGUCAAACUUAGAGUCGGUAUGGGAAGAAAAAAACAAACAACUAUGAAUCUAACUUUGGUGAAUAUUAACAUAUACUCUGAUAUUGACACGAUCACAUUAAUAUUAAUUUAGAAUAAAUAAAUAUAUUAAAUAUAAUUAUAAAUAUUUAUACCCGUAUUUGGUACUGACAUGGAUACAUAGCAUUUUUUCAAAGGUGUUGUGCCAUGAUUAAUAAAAGGGAAAUUAUCGUUGUCACAAUUUCACAAAUUCAAUUAUCUAUUUACUUUGGGAAAAAUUUAUAUGACCAGUGUUUCAAUCUAAUUUUAAUUAUCUAAUCUCAACGUGAUUUAGGUUUUGUUUGCUAUAUGAAGACGUACAAAAACACAGCAUUUCAACGUACAGUCUGCUCGACAUAGGCAGGACACGGGAAUGUUACUAGGAAAUACAGAUGGAGUAAUUCACAAUUCAGAAUUUCGUUUUCACCAAGUUUACUCAACUCUUUCAUCGAAUAAGAAGAAAAUUUACAUGCUGUACAAUUCUCUAUAGUAACCUGGAUUUUUUUCUUAGCAACACCUCCCUUUCUAUAUCUAACUAUACUCUGUAUAAUUUGAAUGCUAACAACAUUUCAAUUCAUAAUUAAAUAAAUAGCUAAUAAUGAAAAGACUUUUUAUGCUACAAUCUGCUCUGCCCAUGGAGAUGACAUUUGUUUAAAGAGAUCAUAAUGCUGCUUCUCAGCACCAUAUACCUCAGAACUCUCGGAAGAAACCAAAGAAUGAACCCAAGAGACAUCCGGCUCAACAAUAUUCUGCUGGUGACACACCUACCAUAGAAUUUCUAAAACCCAAAAGAAGCUGACUUUU